This 468-nucleotide ribosomal RNA is filed under the name uncultured bacterium. RNAcentral's name for it is "partial 16S ribosomal RNA". It matches the Rfam family "Bacterial small subunit ribosomal RNA", at positions 28 to 507 of the family's 1533-position model. The record is from RNAcentral.
GACGAACGCUGGCGGCGUGCUUAACACAUGCAAGUCGAACGGAAAGGCCCUGCUUUUGUGGGGUGCUCGAGUGGCGAACGGGUGAGUAACACGCGAGUAACCUGCCCUUGACUUUGGGAUAACUUCAGGAAACUGGGGCUAAUAUCGGAUAGGAGCUCCUGCUGCAUGGUGGGGGUUGGAAAGUUUCGGCGGUUGGGGAUGGACUCGCGGCUUAUCAGCUUGUUGGUGGGGUAGUGGCUUACCAAGGCUUUGACGGGUAGCCGGCCUGAGAGGGUGACCGGCCACAUUGGGACUGAGAUACGGCCCAGACUCCUACGGGAGGCAGCAGUGGGGAAUAUUGCACAAUGGGCGGAAGCCUGAUGCAGCAACGCCGCGUGCGGGAUGACGGCCUUCGGGUUGUAAACCGCUUUCGCCUGUGACGAAGCGUGAGUGACGGUAAUGGGUAAAGAAGCACCGGCUAACUACGUG